GGGUCAGUAGGUUGGUCGUGCCACCGGUACGUACUGGUCUCACUGAUUCCUCCUUCCUGAAGAACCGUAAUGCCAUUAAUUUGGUGUUGCGGGGAAACAGGACUGUUACUUUGAAAAAACUAGAGUGUUUAAAGCAAGCUGACGCUUGAAUACAUUAGCAUGGAAUAAUGAAAUAGGACGAUCGAUCCUAUUUUGUUGGUUUCUAGGAUUGACGUA
This 216-nucleotide ribosomal RNA is filed under the name Glomeromycotina sp. Its description in RNAcentral is "partial small subunit ribosomal RNA". The stretch from base 40 to 216 matches the Rfam family "Eukaryotic small subunit ribosomal RNA", at positions 686 to 864 of the family's 1831-position model. The record is from RNAcentral. Lineage: Eukaryota; Fungi; Glomeromycota.